Molecule: long non-coding RNA, 223 nt
Filed under: Capsicum annuum
Lineage: Eukaryota; Viridiplantae; Streptophyta; Magnoliopsida; Solanales; Solanaceae
Description: long non-coding RNA (CANN_LNC022090)
Source: RNAcentral
UGAACGCUCAUGAAUACUAGACCAUCUUCAGUGUAAAUAUAUUUAACGAAUCAUCUGUUUUUAAAUGUGAAAUUGUACAGUGAAAGUGCUCCAUUAUUCAUGCAUUUUCACCAAUGAUCUUGAAAAAUCUAAAAAAUUCAUUUAUUAAAUUUGUCCCUUAUUUAACAUCAUUUUGAUUCAAAAAAGUGAGAUAGGCAGUGGGAAAGUAAAAGAAACAAGGACC